RNAcentral lists this transfer RNA (74 nucleotides) under Pseudothermotoga thermarum DSM 5069. Its description in RNAcentral is "Thermotoga thermarum DSM 5069 tRNA". It matches the Rfam family "tRNA". Rfam says of the family: Transfer RNA (tRNA) molecules are approximately 80 nucleotides in length. Lineage: Bacteria; Thermotogati; Thermotogota; Thermotogae; Thermotogales; Thermotogaceae. The record is from Rfam by way of RNAcentral.
GCGCCUGUAGCUCAAUUGGAUAGAGCGUCGGACUUCGGAUCCGAUGGUUGCGGGUUCAAGUCCUGCCAGGCGCG